GUGGGUUUAUGAUCCACUCAGGAAAAAUAAAGUUUUACAGCUAAAACAAAAUCAUUCCAGGCGACCUGCUUAAGAUGAUCGGGGUUAGCAGUUUGCUGGGGUCACAGAGUGAAGGAGCUGAGGGCUGCCCCCUGCUGGUCACUGAUGGCCAGGAAACUGUUCACAUCUACAGUUGCUAAUGAAAUAGCUUCAGCUUUCCACCCAAAUAUGGUCACUUCUGGUUCCAAGAAGCCGACACAGCUGCAGCUGAGAUGCACUCCAGAAAUACAGCGCUGAGAGUAAAGUACCUGAGUGACACAAUGGGUUAUGCAUGAGUCACAUGCUGAGAAUCUGCGCUGGAUGCAGAUCUGGCUAAUGACGUCUCUGCCUGCAGCUGGGGCACAAAGGGGCCCCGCUGAGCGAAGAAGCUGUAAUUUCAGAGCCUGCAAAUACUUCACAGGAAAUGAUUGUGGUACUGCACGCCCUCUCUCUGAUGACCUUUCACCCCGUUUGCUCGCUCACCACGCAGGCGAGCGGCUGACGGUUUGAUUGCUCUUCUCCUGCACAUUUCCAUCUCGGCGGCCCAAACACCUGUUUGCUGUUUCUCAGCUCGCCCAGACGAUAUCUCAUCUGGGAUCGUGGAGACGUCUGCCCCGGGGAGCUGAUAGAAGUGCAGCCUCAGCUCGCUCCUCUCUGCAGCACCUUACAUUGUUGUGCAACUGCAGUGAACCAGAGACAGUCAUUUAUAAGAUGUCUGGCUCGCUGCCUCCGGUCACAGAAGCCGCCGCUGCUGCUGCUGCAUCCAGGACUGUGUGUUCUGGCCUGAGUGGAUGAAUUAGAGCUGCCAAGACCAAAAUAACUCAUUGAUUCACUGAGCUCUCCCUGGGUCUGAAGCAUUAACAUCAUCCAGAAGCUAUUUCUCUCACUUGUUUGGAGCCGCAAGUCGUCCAGAGGUACCAUUAUCCAAGCCUGGCGAAGGCAAAACGACUAAACAAAGAAAGCUGUGGAAGUUAAGAGUUCUUAAAUUUUUGUUUCACGUGAUGGGCCAUUUUUAAAUAUAUGAAAAUGUAAUUACUGUUUUUUUUAAUAUAACAAACAACAAUCUGCCAAAAGAGUAAAAGCACUGGUGAAGUGAAUAAUUCAUCUUGUGUCACAAUUCAAAGGUAUGCCGGGAAAAUCGGGUGGAUGUUAAUGUUAAACUUAACACUUGCCAGCUGUCUUUGAAGCACCUCUGGGCACUUAUUUGGGCAGUUUUAUUUUCAAGCAUUUUCCUAAAUGAACUUGAAUUUCAAUGGUGACCAGGACAUAGAGACAACACGUAUAAAAUCACCAAAUUUUUAAAAAGCCUGUUAAAAAUUAGCUGAUUUCACUUUACCUUAUACCAAAAAAAGAGCCUGUUUUACCCCUGUCAUAGAGUCCUCUUCCACCAUGUUUGCUGAAUUCUCCUCAUAGAUUUAAUCUUUGCUCAUUCCCCAACUAAAUAUUAAAGCAAGAACAAAACCCCGUUGCAGUGGUCCUCCCCGACGGCUGCAGUCAAGAGAAGUAAGAGAAUGAGGCCCACCGCACUCUAAAUGCCACUUCCAAAUAUGACUAACAAUGGACUUUAUAUCAAAGAUUACGGAGCCCCGCAGGGGACAUGGGAGAAAAAAAUUAAGACUGACU
This is a long non-coding RNA of Oreochromis aureus, 1641 nucleotides long. RefSeq lists it as uncharacterized. Lineage: Eukaryota; Metazoa; Chordata; Actinopteri; Cichliformes; Cichlidae. The record is from RefSeq and is a predicted model, not a curated record. The transcript is spliced from 5 exons.